Molecule: ribosomal RNA, 464 nt
Filed under: uncultured bacterium
Lineage: Bacteria
Description: bacterial SSU rRNA
Rfam family: Bacterial small subunit ribosomal RNA
Source: RNAcentral
GGGCCCGCACAAGCAGUGGAGUAUGUGGUUUAAUUCGAAGCAACGCGAAGAACCUUACCAGGUCUUGACAUGGGGAUGACCGGUACAGAGAUGUACCUUUCCUUCGGGACAUCCCACACAGGUGGUGCAUGGUUGUCGUCAGCUCGUGUCGUGAGAUGUUGGGUUAAGUCCCGCAACGAGCGCAACCCUUAUUGUUAGUUGAUACAUUUAGUUGAUCACUCUAGCGAGACUGCCGUUGACAAAACGGAGGAAGGUGGGGACGACGUCAAAUCAUCAUGCCCCUUAUGACCUGGGCUACACACGUACUACAAUGGCAGUCAUACAGAGGGAAGCAAAGCCGCGAGGUGGAGCAAAUCCCUAAAAGCUGUCUCAGUUCAGAUUGCAGGCUGCAACUCGCCUGCAUGAAGUCGGAAUUGCUAGUAAUCGCGGAUCAGCAUGCCGCGGUGAAUACGUUCCCGGGCCUU